RNAcentral lists this ribosomal RNA (372 nucleotides) under uncultured organism. RNAcentral's name for it is "bacterial SSU rRNA". It matches the Rfam family "Bacterial small subunit ribosomal RNA", at positions 526 to 896 of the family's 1533-position model. The record is from RNAcentral.
CAGAGGUGGCAAGCGUUGUACGGAAUUACUGGGCGUAAAGGGCGCGUAGGCGGCCUUCUAAGUCAGACGUGAAAUCCCCAGGCUUAACUUGGGAACUGCGUCUGAUACUGGAGGGCUCGAGUGCGGGAGAGGGAUGUGGAAUUCCAGGUGUAGCGGUGAAAUGCGUAGAUAUCUGGAGGAACACCGGUGGCGAAGGCGGCAUCCUGGACCGACACUGACGCUGAGGCGCGAAAGCUAGGGGAGCAAACGGGAUUAGAUACCCCGGUAGUCCUAGCCCUAAACGAUGAGUGCUUGGUGUGGCGGGUAUCGAUCCCUGCCGUGCCGAAGCUAACGCAUUAAGCACUCCGCCUGGGGAGUACGGUCGCAAGGCUG